This 69-nucleotide transfer RNA is filed under the name Dipodomys ordii (Ord's kangaroo rat). It matches the Rfam family "tRNA". Rfam says of the family: Transfer RNA (tRNA) molecules are approximately 80 nucleotides in length. Their secondary structure includes four short double-helical elements and three loops (D, anti-codon, and T loops). Lineage: Eukaryota; Metazoa; Chordata; Mammalia; Rodentia; Heteromyidae. The record is from Rfam by way of RNAcentral.
GGGAAGGUGGCUCAGUGGUAGAGCACUUGCCUAGCAUGCAUGAAGCAUGAAGCCCUGGGUUUCAUCCCU